Molecule: non-coding RNA, 241 nt
Organism: Pelobates cultripes (western spadefoot toad)
Lineage: Eukaryota; Metazoa; Chordata; Amphibia; Anura; Pelobatidae
Source: the annotation of a GenBank genome assembly
AUCGGUUUCAUUAGAGAUUUUACCUUUUGGCUUUAACCCCUUAAGCACCCAUGACAUGUGACAUGUCAUGAUUCCCUUUUAUUCCAGAAGUUUGGUCCUUAAGGGGUUAAAGCAUCAAAGUCAUUUGUAGUGUAGGACUCACCCAAGAGGUGAGGUAAUGGCCAUUGGAGUGAUACCCUACCCUCUUGUUAUUUAAAUGUGUGCAGGGAUUUGGGAUAGAGCACCAAUACCUUGUUUUGCU